RNAcentral lists this ribosomal RNA (282 nucleotides) under uncultured prokaryote. RNAcentral's name for it is "partial 16S ribosomal RNA". It matches the Rfam family "Bacterial small subunit ribosomal RNA", at positions 524 to 803 of the family's 1533-position model. The record is from RNAcentral.
UACGUAGGGGGCUAGCGUUAUCCGGAAUUACUGGGCGUAAAGGGUGCGUAGGUGGUUUCUUAAGUCAGAGGUGAAAGGCUACGGCUCAAACCGUAGUAAGCCUUUGAAACUGAGAAACUUGAGUGCAGGAGAGGAGAGUGGAAUUCCUAGUGUAGCGGUGAAAUGCGUAGAUAUUAGGAGGAAUACCAGUUGUGAAGGCGGCUCUCUGGACUGUAACUGACACUGAGGCACGAAAGCGUGGGGAGCAAACAGGAUUAGAUACCCGGGUAGUCCCUGAGCGGG